Molecule: transfer RNA, 72 nt
Filed under: Dipodomys ordii (Ord's kangaroo rat)
Lineage: Eukaryota; Metazoa; Chordata; Mammalia; Rodentia; Heteromyidae
Rfam family: tRNA
About the family: Transfer RNA (tRNA) molecules are approximately 80 nucleotides in length.
Source: Rfam by way of RNAcentral
GGGAAGGUGGCUCAGUGGUAGAGUGCUUGCUUUGCAUGCAUGAGGCCCUGGGUUCGAUUCCUUAGCAUCACA